This 497-nucleotide ribosomal RNA is filed under the name uncultured bacterium. Its description in RNAcentral is "partial 16S ribosomal RNA". It matches the Rfam family "Bacterial small subunit ribosomal RNA", at positions 28 to 507 of the family's 1533-position model. The record is from RNAcentral.
GAUGAACGCUGGCGGCGUGCCUAAUUCAUGCCAGUCGAGCGAACAGACGAGGAGCUUGCUCCUCUGACGUUAGCGGCGGACGGGUGAGUAACACGUGGAUAACCUACCUAUAAGACUGGGAUAACUUCGGGAAACCGGAGCUAAUACCGGAUAAUAUAUUGAACCGCAUGGUUCAAUAGUGAAAGACGGUUUUGCUGUCACUUAUAGAUGGAUCCGCGCCGCAUUAGCUAGUUGGUAAGGUAACGGCUUACCAAGGCAACGAUGCGUAGCCGACCUGAGAGGGUGAUCGGCCACACUGGAACUGAGACACGGUCCAGACUCCUACGGGAGGCAGCAGUAGGGAAUCUUCCGCAAUGGGCGAAAGCCUGACGGAGCAACGCCGCGUGAGUGAUGAAGGUCUUCGGAUCGUAAAACUCUGUUAUUAGGGAAGAACAAAUGUGUAAGUAACUAUGCACGUCUUGACGGUACCUAAUCAGAAAGCCACGGCUAACUACGUG